This 258-nucleotide ribosomal RNA is filed under the name uncultured bacterium. RNAcentral's name for it is "partial 16S ribosomal RNA". It matches the Rfam family "Bacterial small subunit ribosomal RNA", at positions 15 to 263 of the family's 1533-position model. The record is from RNAcentral.
GAUCCUGGCUCAGAUUGAACGCUGGCGGAACGCUUUACACAUGCAAGUCGAACGGUAACGCGGUGAGAAGCUUGCUUCUUACCGGCGACGAGUGGCGAACGGGUGAGUAAUACAUCGGAACGUGUCCGCUCGUGGGGGACAACCAGCCGAAAGGUUGGCUAAUACCGCAUGAGUUCUACGGAAGAAGAGGGGGACCCGCAAGGGCCUCUCGCGAGCGGAGCGGCCGAAUGACUGAUUAGCCGGUUGGUGAGGUAACGG